Molecule: ribosomal RNA, 223 nt
Filed under: uncultured bacterium
Lineage: Bacteria
Description: partial 16S ribosomal RNA
Rfam family: Bacterial small subunit ribosomal RNA
Source: RNAcentral
UAACGCGUGGGUAACCUGCCUCAUACAGGGGGAUAACAGUUAGAAAUGACUGCUAAUACCGCAUAAGCGCACAGUGCUGCAUGGCACAGUGUGAAAAACUCCGGUGGUAUGAGAUGGACCCGCGUCUGAUUAGCUAGUUGGUGGGGUAACGGCCUACCAAGGCGACGAUCAGUAGCCGGCCUGAGAGGGUGAACGGCCACAUUGGGACUGAGACACGGCCCAG